Long non-coding RNA from Daphnia pulex (common water flea), 1401 nucleotides. RefSeq lists it as uncharacterized. The transcript is spliced from 5 exons. NCBI's taxonomy places the organism in Eukaryota, Metazoa, Arthropoda, Branchiopoda, Diplostraca, Daphniidae. The record is from RefSeq and is a predicted model, not a curated record.
CCUCUUAAAAGAAUGGCGAACACGUUGCGACUUGCAAGUGUGUGUCUGUCUGUGUCAGAUUGUCAGUUGUCGCGUAACAUACGAUACGCUAACUAACAUCAACAAUUUGUGCCGUAAUACCAAUGAAUACAUAGGAGGAAACGUGAAAGUCGUAGGGCCUACAGGCUACAGCCUACCAUCAACAAUUUUGUUCAAAAUCACUGUAUUCUGCUGAAUAUGCCAUCGAAAUUAUACAGGAUUCAUCACAAUUAUCUGCUGUUUGUAUUGGACUUGCUCGAUCACCAACCCUGGCAUGUACCAAGCUCUCAUCUUCUAGAGUACCUUGGGUAACUAAUCAUCACUGAUCAGUGGUUUCAUGUAGGCAAUUCCGUUGUAAUACUGACAACUAUUUAAUGAGAACAACAACAACAACAACUAUUGACCGGAAGACGUCCAUCCAGGAGUCCAUCCGAUUUUGGCAAUUGGAGCGACGGACUGGCAAAGACCCACCCCGAGAUGAUCGUUGUCUUGAGCACUCCGCCCAACACCAACUUUAUCCCUGCCAUUGGGCGUCUUAUUCCUCACGUCGGAGCGGCUCCGUUCCUCACGCCGUCUGCCCCCACGUCAUCUUCUCUCUGCAGCCCAUCGCUGCAGUUAACCGCAACAAGUUACUUUCUGCUGUUCUCCGCCUGAUCCUCAAUGCCACUGAGACCACCGAGAUCCGUAUCGCCGCCGUCUCCACAUGUUCCACGCUCUGGGGGUAAACUUUCGUCAACCACUCAGCAAUCCGCCAUGACAUGACAUCACUUCAUGGCCUAGACGCCUAGAUACCAGUUUCUACACGCGUAGUUCAAAAAAUGAUCAGCGCCAUCUAAUGGUGAUGAAUUGGUUAAAUUUGACCGACCCACCAUCUACUGGCGAAAAAGUAAACAGUCACCUAUUGCUGAAAUUUCGAACUAACCCUUCCGCAUCCGUAUGUGCAAAGUUCCUCCCGUACCCGUAUACCAAAAAACCUUUACUUUAUUUUUACAGAAUCCCUAAGGGAAACAAAGAAAUUUAAAUUAAUACAAAGAAAUUAAUUAAUUUCAUUAUUAUUUCAUUAUUUAAAAUAUCGGGGUUAUAUUGUCGGUGGAGUUCUUCUCUCUUUGGAGUUCUACUGUCAGCAACCCGAUGAAACGUAUACGGCACGCAAGUGAGCCCAAUUGUUGUAUUUUUAAAUCCUUGAAAUUUACAAUGCAACAAUAUACGUCAAACUUGACCCAAUGUCAAUUUGUACCCCAUUUUCCUCGACCGCAACCGUGUUACUUUCAACGUUCACGAAGAAUGUACUUGCUUCAGUCAGCUGAACCUUUCCUCUUUCUAAAUCGUCACUCGUAGGAAUUUUUCUAGGGCCAAGAAUAGGGUCUUGGAAGCGCCAAAGGC